This 468-nucleotide ribosomal RNA is filed under the name uncultured bacterium. RNAcentral describes it as "partial 16S ribosomal RNA". It matches the Rfam family "Bacterial small subunit ribosomal RNA", at positions 28 to 507 of the family's 1533-position model. The record is from RNAcentral.
GACGAACGCUGGCGGCGUGCUUAACACAUGCAAGUCGAACGGAAAGGCCCUGCUUUUGUGGGGUGCUCGAGUGGCGAACGGGUGAGUAACACGUGAGUAACCUGCCCUUGACUUUGGGAUAACUUCAGGAAACUUGGGCUAAUACCGGAUAGGAGCUCCUGCUGCAGGGUGGGGGUGGGAAAGUUUCGGCGGUUGGGGAUGGACUCGCGGCUUAUCAGCUUGUUGGUGGGGUAGUGGCUUACCAAGGCUUUGACGGGUAGCCGGCCUGAGAGGGUGACCGGCCACAUUGGGACUGAGAUAAGGCCCAGACUCCUACGUGAGGCAGCAGUGGGGAAUAUUGCACAAUGGGCGGAAGCCUGAUGCAGCAACGCCGCGUGCGGGAUGACGGCCUUCGGGUUGUAAAACGCUUUCGCCUGUGACGAAGCGUGAGUGACGGUAAUGGGUAAAGAAGCACCGGCUAACUACGUG